This is a long non-coding RNA of Lutra lutra (Eurasian river otter), 4543 nucleotides long. RefSeq lists it as uncharacterized. The transcript is spliced from 2 exons. The record is from RefSeq and is a predicted model, not a curated record. Lineage: Eukaryota; Metazoa; Chordata; Mammalia; Carnivora; Mustelidae.
AGAACUUUUAAAUGAAGGCGGUGCAGGUGGCCCCAUGGGAUGACUCCACUGGUUGCCCAGAAUAAGGACAUUUCUAAAUGGUGGCUGUAUUCAAUGCUCACAGUUUAAUCACUCUUACUUUACAUCUUAAUGUAUACUAAGCAGUCUUAGUCUGUUACCUGAGGUACUUUCUUAGUAUUUGCAACAUAUAUUUGCACAGCCCAAAAAAGCAUAAGGGUUUUGUUUGUACUUUAAAUGAGAAGUAAGGAAAUGAGCUGCCCCGUAUAUCAUGCAUCUGUGAUAUAAGGAAUAGGGGUAAGUUAAAAUCAAAGAGUGUUGUUGAAAGCGCCUUUAAAGAAGGACUAAUUAAGACACAGAGGGCUCUGCCAUGUUGCUGUGCCCAUGCCGGCACUUCCACGCCAGCUAAUUCCGUCUGGUUCGCAUGGCUCUGUGGCUUUCCAGGUGCUGUCCUGAGAAUUUCUAUAGUAAAUACAAGGAUGGGGGUCCCCGCCCUUGAGUCCACCAAGAGCUAGCAAGGUGAUUGUAAAUCCUAAAAAGUUGGGACAUUUUACUUCCCGAUUCUGUUUGAGAGUUUAAGUCCUGUUCCCCCUUCCCCCUGCCCCCAGAUUCUGGUUUUCCCAGUUUAUCCACUGAAUCGACUUUCUGAAAGUAGGACACCAUUGCCCUGACAGAGUGGACAGAAGGCUAGACUCUAGCCCACCGCCUCACCUCGAACCCAGGACCCGUCUCUUGUUGAAUGCACAGCAGUAACUAUUGGGCAGUAGGUGACUAAGGGAAUCAUUAGGAUGGUUUCAGUUACAUUUUUAACACCAACUGAAUAUGUUGUUUUGUAAAAUUCAUCUAUUUUCUUCCAUUUCCACAUGUUCCCCUACAUCUAUUUUAAGAAGGAAACUAAAAAAAAGUCUCAUAAUCUUGCUUCCUUUACCUCCUCUCCAGCUCUUUAUUUUGGAAAUGAGCAGAUUCUCCAAGACCACUUCUGGGAGUUGGAGGGGGUGGAGAUGGCCAGGGCGAGCAGGAUUAAAUUCGUUUGUUUAUUGCUAGUUCAACUAGAAAAAGGGUGAGAGUAGCCAGCACUGACACUCCCCCUCCCCCUCCCCAGCCCUUGUCUUUGUCUUAUCCUGCUUUGCUUCCUUGGAUCAUUCAGCCUACGUCCACUGAAUAUCUGCCACAUGCGGCUUCACUGUCCUUGUUUCAGGGAUGGGACAGGGUGUCCUCCAUGUCCUCCCCUCCGCCACCCUGCAGCCGCCGGCUUCAGGUAUCCGGUCAGUUCUGCAGGAAAUAGAUCUGGGCUUCGGUGCCUGCCGUGUCCCUCAUCCCACGGACCAAAAGUGCUUAUGCCCUACUUGUUUCUAACUGCAGGGGGUUCUGUUAUUUUUGAUUUAUGUCAGGUUAUAAUUCAUGAAGUCACAAGACACGAAGGGUAUUUUCUGAAAUAUUCUCAAACUACGUCACUCUUCCAUUACCUUUUUUUUUUUUCCUCUCUCGAAUGUCUUAAUCAGAAUCUCUUCAGAGUCCUUACUUGUUUGUAAGAUGUGAAGAACAUAGAAGGUCACAAAGAAGUUCUGGUAGACCUAAAGGGCAGAGAAGUUGGGCACCACCUGCUGGGUUGCUGUGUAAAUUGUUGCUUUUAAUAGGGGUGAGAAUCUCAGUGCGGAAAAUUGGCUAGUGAUCCGAUCAGUUGGCUCAUAAUCUCUCUUAACUCAAGGGGAGACUUCAUGCAAAAGGACAUUAUUCGAUUAAAGAUGACAAGGUGUUUCAAACACGUGGUAGUAUUUUGUAGCAGGGGGCAGUUUUUUCCUUUAGGCAGGAAGAAGCUGGAGGGGAAGCACCGCAAGCCAGGGCGAACACAGCUGCCCCCCGGUGGUAGGUCUGUAAACUACACUGUGAAGACGUCUGCUGUUUAUUUGAGAGACUCAACGGAGCAUUCGCAAUCCGUGUGUGUGUGUGUGUGUGUGUGUGUGUGUGUGUGUGUGUGUGUGUGUGUGUGUGUGUGUGUGUGUGUGUGUGUGUGUGUGUGUGUGUGUGUGUGUGUGUGUGUGUGUGUGUUGAUAGGUUUGCUCUUCUCAUAGAACGAUCUCUGUUCAGUGUAGACAGUAUAGUGAUUUUAAGGAGGCUGCUAAGGUAGUUAUCUAAAAAUAUAUCUGAAUUUGUUUGGGGGAGUAGUACUUAAUAUGUUUCAGUAAAUGUGGAGGUUUACCAGUUAAUACUUGAUUAAAUCGAUGGAAGCACCCACAUUUCUCCAUGAGCUGAGCUCUGAACUGUUAUCUCCUCCCUGGAGGUUAGAGGACUCCUCCUUACAUUCAUUGCACAUAUGUUGGACUUACAUAAUGACCCUUUGUCAAUUUCAAGCACGAAUUUUCCAGUUUCUUAAAAAUCUCCCCCUUCCUUCCAUACCGAUGUCAUAAGUUAAAGGUUAAACCCAAGUGUCGUUUGUUGAUAGACUCAGAAGCGUUGUUUAAAGGAAAAGGUUCUUAAUACCUUACAGUUAGAAUCUCACUGAAAAAUAAAUGCUCCAGGCAAGCCAAGAAAGCAUGAACCUCUUCCAUAUUUUUUGGAUGACGUACUGCGUCCUAUCAAUCUCCCCUCAGUGGUAAUGUGACUGUCCCCUCUUUGGGAAUCUAUUUAGGUACGGAACUGAAACUGGAAAGCGGUGUAACACUAAUAUAUACAACGAGGCACCAUCAUCCAUAAUGACCAUAACUGUAACACUUUUUCUCCUAAUUACAUAUUGAAAAUUUCCAAAGUCCAUCUCUCAUUUUAGAGCCCUGUACGAAUGAAUGUUAACUUGACAGUACUACUGAUUAGGAGAAAUUUCUCUUGUUUUUAGACUUAAAUAUUUGCACAUCAUCACUAAGUAUCUUGGGGGAAGGAACAUUUUAAAGUUUCCUCCCUAGAGAGCGAAAUAGAGGCCCUUGUUUGAAAAGAAGUUAAAAAUGAUUUACUUUCAGUACUGGAUGAGUUGGUUGUCUAACUGUUGACCCUUUCUUGGUGUUUGUGAUAGCAGAUGCAUUUAUGUGGAGAAAUUUUUAGUUUCCACCCUCAAUACACACACACGUGAGCUGUACACAUUUUAGAUGAACAAAUAAAACUCCACAGUAUUUUCCAUUACAGUCCUAUAACUUACUAAAAUUUAUAGGAUUCUGCCAUGAAGUAUUAACCCCUGACUCUAGACAUUUGAGGACGAGGGGAUCAACUUCAAAUUAACCAACAACAAUGGCUUGAUUUAAAUAGCAAAAAAUAUAGUUUACCAGAUAGGUAUUAAAAAUUCACUUUCAAAUUGUGUUAACUCUCAGGUCACUGAUGAAUCAUUUAGUAAAACACAGCAGUUUUUAAAAGCUAAAUGAUGCCUUAGUGCCUUGGAAGUUAAGAUACUUUUGCAGAGUGAAUUUGGCAGGAUUCAAGAUUGGCAUACUUGUUACUGGAGAUUUAGAAUUUACGGAUGGUUUUAUUGAAUUAACUCCUUAUGGUGAAUAAAAAUCAGCCAUUUUGCCAUUGACUCCGACAGAUGACAACUACUUUCCUUAUAUUUUCAUGAUGUGGUAUUUGUCUAUAAUUUUUUUCUUUUUACAAGUAAGUUUGAGAUGGAGAAAAAUGUAGUCAAGACAAUGAAGUGUGGGAUUUUAAAAUUCAGUUUUGUCGUAAACUAGAAAUUCUAGCGUGGACAGUGUUAGUUUUAUAUCGUAGUAUUAAAGGGCAGAAACUUUAUGUAACAUUUAGGAAUAUGUUUAUCAUCAGGGAUUUCUUUUUACUAUAGAAAAACUUAAUGUACUGUGAAGUUUAAAGACAGGAAGAAUAAAUGUUAGACGGGGUCACACACAAAAGCAAAGGCAUAUGUGAUGAACUAACCCAUAUUAUGUGAAAACAAUCCCCCCUUCUGUUAAGACUAUAAACUACACUGUAUGAGUAUGUGUACUGCAUGUUUACAUAAUACAGUUUAAUUUUGAAGGAUUAUUUUAAAAACUAUGUUUAUGUAUAAUACCUAACGAGCUGUAAAUAUUGUAUACUAUUGAUUUUUAAUUUUAUAUAAGCGAUUUUUUUAUUUCCCAAUUCAUGUACAAACCUCAUUGUGUAUAUAGCCUGAUUUCCUGGAGAACACAAAUUUUGCAGUGAACUUUAUUUUAAUUGUGGUAAGCAUCAAGUUAGCCUUAGGGAUGUUGGUCUUUAUUUUAAAUUAUUUUUCACCACUCAUUUUCUUCAAAGGGCAGCAAUAAACACAUGCAAGUUAUUUUUGACUCUAGAAAGUUGGUCUGCAAACACAAGAUCUAGGUUCCAAUUCAUUGCUUUAAAGAAAAGAUGCACAAUUACUAUCUACUGUCUGAUCACAGGACCAUUUCUGAGGUCCGUGUGUCUCUCCUCUUUGUAAUAUACAGGGUGAACUCUUUACUGACACACACAGGACAACUGUUAAAAGCGAAUCCAGCACUUAAACGUCAUUACACAGAAUUUAUUGGAUUAAAAAUUUGUAAUAUACAGUAUUUUAAUAAAAUUUCUGUAUUCAAUUUCAUGCACUUAUAUAUAAAUAAACCUGUCUUUAAAAGCUUUA